Molecule: transfer RNA, 24 nt
Filed under: Coccoloba parimensis
Lineage: Eukaryota; Viridiplantae; Streptophyta; Magnoliopsida; Caryophyllales; Polygonaceae
Also listed under: 1 other name
Description: partial tRNA-His
Source: RNAcentral
GGCGGAUGUAGCCAAGGGGAUCAA